This 258-nucleotide long non-coding RNA is filed under the name Mytilus galloprovincialis (Mediterranean mussel). The record is from RNAcentral. Lineage: Eukaryota; Metazoa; Mollusca; Bivalvia; Mytilida; Mytilidae.
GUUUCUAUAUAAUCAGUCUGUUUAGUAGUACCUUAUACUUGAUCCUUUUCUUACUCUUUUUCAUUAAGUUUAUACUUAUCUUAUAUUCAAUAACCUGUAUCGAUAGUUAUAAUUAUUGUUCAUAAAAACAAUAUUGAACUUAUCCCAACAAGCCAAUCUAGAUGUGUAUAAUAUGCUAGAUGCAUUUAGAAAAGUGUCUAAUGGCAACCUGCAUCGCGAAAUGUAUGAAGUUCAUUAAUAUCAAAAUACUGAUACCCC